CCCACGCCUCUGCUGCCGAAGCCACGUCCUUGCGUCUCCAUCCUUUGCAGCCAGCAUUGCCCGCAGCUCAACGCCAGUGAAUCUAGCGUCUGCAACUUUAGCGAUCCCUUCGCUGUUUUUGUCUCAAUUGGGCCGCGCGAAGUCGAUUAAGGAGACCGCCAGCCCACUUCCAAUUUCGGCCAGCAUCUCCAGCUGUCUUCGGCCCAUCUCCCUCGUAGCAAUUCGGCCCAGAGUCCACCGAAUUUCAACCCAACUCAGCCCAGUUCGCAAUUGUCAUCACCAGCUUAGUCUAGCAGAUUUUCAACGACCCAGCAGUUGGGCCCGUUCAUGAGCCCAAGCAAUUUCGAUCAGCCCACUUGAAGCCCAGGCCCAGACUUUGAAGCCCAGCAAGUUAAGCCCAAGAUUCCAGCGAGGCCCAAGCAAGUUCAGCCCAAGCCCAGCUCUUGAUGUGGGCUUGCGAGGCUAGUAGGCCCGGCCCGAGUGUCCGUCAACGCCGUUGAAAGUUCGGGUUUUGGCCGCCGUCGCGGUGUUCCGGUCUUCGCUUUGCCAAGUGAGUAAUCUCACUAAUCUUUGCUUAGUAAACUAAUGAUGCUUAAGGGUUGAUUAGAUUUAGUAAGUGCAAUUAGGUGGUUAGAUUAGCAUGGAUUAGUGAUUAUUAGUUAAUUGUAUUGCAUAUUAGUUAAGUGGUUAGUGUACUUAGCUAGAAAAUUGCCUAUAUUAUUUAUCGAAUGCAUCUUGGGAUUUUUCCUAACCCGUUUCGGGCUCCAAUAAGGCAUUACAUGCCUAAAUUGGAUUUUUAGUAUUUAAUUAUUAAUUUCCGAAUUUAUUUUUUCGAAAAUUAGGCUAAGAUAGCCGACGAUCGAAAUUUUGUGUUGAUUUCAGUGGUACUUUUUGUUUAUUUAAUUAAACACUAGUUUGUGGAAAUUGAGUGAGUUGAUGAGUAUGUGGGGAUUUAUCCCAAGAUUGAUCAGUGUCGGUAUUCAAUUAGAAUUUGACUGUGAGAGGUUGUGAGUUGAACCUUGGAAGCUGCUGAAGUAUGACUAUGCCAGUUGGGCCGAGAUUUGCCACAGAAUUUGGAGUCGGUCGCGCCCAUUAGGCCGUAAUCUGCCACCUAUUAAAGGUCGCGUCCGUUGGGCUGUAAAUUGCCACUUGUUAAAGGUCGCGCCUGUUGGGCCGUAAAUUGCCACCUAAUAGAGGUCGUGCCCGUUGGGCUGUAAAUUGCCACCCGAUAGGGGUCGCGCUAGAUAAGGCCAUAAUCCGCCACCUGUUAAAGGUCAUGCCUAUUAGGCCGUAAUUUGCCACCUAAAGAUAGGUUGUGUCCUUUGGACCGUAAUUUGUUGCCAAGAAAUUUGGUAGACUGUGCUCGUGAAGCCAUGAGUAAGAUUUGAGAUUGAAUAAGGGAGAUGACCAGGGAAUGGUCGGAUUGACAUGAAAUCGACUAGGUUGAUUGAUCGAGAUAUUGAUCUGUGAUAUGAUUGCUUGAGUGCCAAUUGAACUGUGCUAAUAUGCAAGUGGAAUCUGAGGCCAAGGUAAGUCCUCUAACUCGUGCAUGUGUAAGCAACCCGGUUAGCGUAUUGGUUUCUUAAUCGAGUCUUAGUGGGGUAGAACUUGCUGAGACAUAAUCUCAUCCCGGUUGUGGGAUAACAUUUCAGGAUCCUGAUGAGAAGCUUGAGGAGAAAGAAAUCGAAGAG
This 1691-nucleotide long non-coding RNA is filed under the name Eucalyptus grandis. Its description in RNAcentral is "long non-coding RNA (EGRA_LNC003069)". Lineage: Eukaryota; Viridiplantae; Streptophyta; Magnoliopsida; Myrtales; Myrtaceae. The record is from RNAcentral.